This 266-nucleotide ribosomal RNA is filed under the name uncultured bacterium. RNAcentral describes it as "partial 16S ribosomal RNA". The record is from RNAcentral.
CUGCUGCCUCCCGUAGGAGUUUGGUCCGUGUCUCAGUACCAAUGUGGGGGGUUGGACCUCUCAGUCCCCCUAUGUAUCGUCGCCUUGGUGAGCCGUUACCUCACCAACUAGCUAAUACAACGCAUGUCCAUCUCUGACCACCUGAGUUUUCAACCACCGAAGAUGCCUCCGGUGAUGUUAUGGGGUAUUAGUACCAAUUUCUCGAUGUUAUCCCCCUGUCAAAGGUAGGUUACAUACGCGUUACGCACCCGUCCGCCGGUCGCCGG